Molecule: ribosomal RNA, 450 nt
Filed under: Triticum aestivum (bread wheat)
Lineage: Eukaryota; Viridiplantae; Streptophyta; Magnoliopsida; Poales; Poaceae
Description: partial small subunit ribosomal RNA
Source: RNAcentral
AUGGCCAUUGCCCCCUCCUCCGCCCCCCUCCCCCUAUCGAUGGUGUGGUCCGUCCGCGUUCCCCUGAAGAUUCGCAUCUUCAUGUGGCAGUGGAUUCGCGGUCGGGUCCCGUCUGGAGUGGAGGUCUGCAAGCGCAAUGGCCCGGGCACUGCUAUCUGCCGGCUCUGUGGUGUCCCUGAAGACUCGAACCACAUUUUCUUCGCUUGCGUCUCCGCCCAGUUCCUCUGGAGCUGCUUUCGCGAGGUUGUCGGUGGAAGUUGGUGCCACACCAAUUUUCUGGACUUAUUUGCUGAACUCCAGAUGUCUCCCGCGUCCUCUCGCCAUAUUAGGUGGCUUGAGGUUGGGGUUCUUGCCUGGACUCUUUGGACCGUUCGCAAUAAGCUUGUGAUCCAGCGUACCCCCCUCCGUCGCGCUACUAACGCUCUCUACAAACUCUCGGGUUUCUUGUAG